CUGCUGCCUCCCGUAGGAGUUUGGGCCGUGUCUCAGUCCCAAUGUGGCCGUCCACCCUCUCAGGCCGGCUACUGAUCGUCGCUUUGGUAGGCCGUUACCCUGCCAACUGGCUAAUCAGACGCGGGCCCAUCUUAUACCACCGGAGUUUUUCACCCUGGGCCAUGCGGCCCUGGGCGCUUAUGCGGUCUUAGCACCUAUUUCUAAGUGUUAUCCCCCUGUAUAAGGCAGGUUACCCACGCGUUACUCACCCGUCCGCCACUAAAGUAAAAUUG
RNAcentral lists this ribosomal RNA (272 nucleotides) under uncultured bacterium. RNAcentral describes it as "partial 16S ribosomal RNA". The record is from RNAcentral.